Long non-coding RNA from Ixodes scapularis (black-legged tick), 825 nucleotides. RefSeq lists it as uncharacterized. The record is from RefSeq and is a predicted model, not a curated record. NCBI's taxonomy places the organism in Eukaryota, Metazoa, Arthropoda, Arachnida, Ixodida, Ixodidae. The transcript is spliced from 3 exons.
CAAAGUUACUUCUUCAAGCCUUCAAUGUGUUGGACAACCUGGGACGCCGUCUAGCCGAGCUUGAAGCAGAGGUCGCCUUCUUCGGCAUUUGCUUGAGGAAACGCUACGUCGAUCCGGUCCGGUUCAAGCAUCUUUCAUCUACGGGGUUUGGUUAGAGCGCCAAAAAGAAGAUAAUCAAGGUCUACAGAGAAGGAACAAGUAGAAGAAUAGAAAACCUCCGCAAGGCCUGUGAUCGCAUCUGGACACUCCUCAGAGGCAAGGAUUACAGGCACCACCCGGACUAUCUACGCUGGAACUCGGGAAAAAAGGAACUCUUCGAGCGGCUGUGGGCGACAUCUACCGGCUUCCCCCUGCAGCUGUCGGUGGCCGUGGCUGUGGAACAUUAACGGUCCGUCCGCAUAUCAAGGAUCAAGUGCGUGACCCGGGAGAAGGAAGAGAGAGAGGACGACUUUCAGGGCAGCGGGAAAACAAAGCGCGGCUAAUCACGCCCGUCACGCAGUCGGAGAUGUUUCCCGGAGACUGUUUUACUCGCUCGGGCAGCUUGCGUGGCACCGGAUGCCGAACCAGUGAAGCGGGCGUUGACGAGCUUCCACAAGGGCAAAUGCUUGGGAGAAUAACCUGCCCUACCAUGGUCACGAUAAAGUGAAGUAAACGUAAUAAGAGAAAAAAAAAAAUAAAGAUUGCUUAUGGCGGCAUCCAUGCACAGCUGCUGCAAAGCUUCCUUAUUGGAUGCUAACCGCGCGACUGACCACUCGUUGCCAUUUAUAAUAUGUCCAGAUGAUGCUUGAUGAUUUCUCAAUAUUUACUGCACGUGCGCUUAAUAAG